Molecule: ribosomal RNA, 253 nt
Filed under: uncultured bacterium
Lineage: Bacteria
Description: partial 16S ribosomal RNA
Rfam family: Bacterial small subunit ribosomal RNA
Source: RNAcentral
UACGAAGGGGGCUAGCGUUGCUCGGAAUCACUGGGCGUAAAGCGCACGUAGGCGGACUCUUAAGUCGGUGGUGAAAUCCUGGAGCUCAACUCCAGAACUGCCUUCGAUACUGGCAGUCUCGAGUGCGGGAGAGGUGAGUGGAAUUCCCAGUGUAGAGGUGAAAUUCGUAGAUAUUGGGAAGAACACCAGUGGCGAAGGCGGCUCACUGGCCCGUAACUGACGCUGAGGAGCGAAAGCAUGGGGAGCGAACAGG